CACAGUUGGACAUAUGAUACGGCGUGUAGCGGUCGAUGAGUGGUGUUUAGAGUUAAAGUACAAGUCUUGCACAAAGUCUCCAACUUUUAAUUAAUAUCUUCUAUAGUUUGACGUGCGUAGAAUUGAUUCAAUUUUGGUUCACAUUUUGGUUCCAAUUUAUUGGAGUUGACGACUUAUGAAAUGUACAACUAAAAUCUUUACAAUAACACUCGGCAACAAAACUGUAGAAAAGAAAUUCUGGUGUAUAAGUCACGAAAACAGUUGACGGGACUGCGAUUUACCGGAGGGACACAAGUGCAAACAUUACCAACAGAUUUCACAAUUACACAGAUUAUUAAAACAAAAUAGAAAAUUGAUAUUAACAAUGUUGCCAUCUUCUGUACUUGAUUUAACGUCGCAGAUAAGUAAAAAAAUAAUACAACAGUUAAUACAGGAAAUAAUAAUAAAGAGAAAUAACAAAGAAAUGGAACACAGGCAUUAUACGCAACAGAAUACCGAAAUGCCUCAAGGAACAGCACAACUUACACCAGAUCAUCUUAUUUCAAACUCUAAAACCA
Long non-coding RNA from Linepithema humile (Argentine ant), 557 nucleotides. RefSeq lists it as uncharacterized. Lineage: Eukaryota; Metazoa; Arthropoda; Insecta; Hymenoptera; Formicidae. The record is from RefSeq and is a predicted model, not a curated record.